UACGUAGGGACCAAGCGUUGUUCGGAUUUACUGGGCGUAAAGGGCGCGUAGGCGGCGUGGUAAGUCACUUGUGAAAUCUCUGAGCUUAACUCAGAACGGCCAAGUGAUACUGCUGUGCUAGAGUGCAGAAGGGGCAAUCGGAAUUCUUGGUGUAGCGGUGAAAUGCGUAGAUAUCUGGAGGAACACCGGUGGCGAAGGCGGCAUCCUGGACCGGUAUUGACGCUGAGGCGCGAAAGCCAGGGGAGCAAACGGG
This 253-nucleotide ribosomal RNA is filed under the name uncultured bacterium. RNAcentral describes it as "partial 16S ribosomal RNA". It matches the Rfam family "Bacterial small subunit ribosomal RNA", at positions 524 to 776 of the family's 1533-position model. The record is from RNAcentral.